UGGGUAAUCUUUUGAAACUUCAUCGUGCUGGGGAUAGAGCAUUGCAACUAUUGCUCUUGAACGAGGAAUCCCUAGUAAGUACAAGUCACUAGCUUGUGCUGAUUACGUCCCUGCCCUUUGUACACACCGCCCGUCGCUACUACCGAUUGAAUGGCUUAGUGAGGCCUUCGGAUUGAGAUUAGGAGACUGGCAACAGACUCCUGGUUUUGAAAAGUUGGACAAACUUGGUCAUUUAGAGGAAGUAAAAGUCGUAACAAGGUUUCCGUAGGUGAACCUGCGG
This 280-nucleotide ribosomal RNA is filed under the name Rhizophagus irregularis. RNAcentral describes it as "partial 18S ribosomal RNA". It matches the Rfam family "Eukaryotic small subunit ribosomal RNA", at positions 1543 to 1820 of the family's 1831-position model. Lineage: Eukaryota; Fungi; Glomeromycota; Glomeromycetes; Glomerales; Glomeraceae. The record is from RNAcentral.